GACGAACGCUGGCGGCGUGCUUAACACAUGCAAGUCGAACGGAAAGGCCCUGCUUUUGUGGGGUGCUCGAGUGGCGAACGGGUGAGUAACACGUGAGUAACCUGCCCUUGACUUUGGGAUAACUUCAGGAAACUGGGGCUAAUACCGGAUAGGAGCUCCUGCUGCAUGGUGGGGGUUGGAAAGUUUCGGCGGUUGGGGAUGGACUCGCGGCUUAUCAGCUUGUUGGUGGGGUAGUGGCUUACCAAGGCUUUGACGGGUAGCCGGCCUGAGAGGGUGACCGGCCACAUUGGGACUGAGAUACGGCCCAGACUCCUACGGGAGGCAGCAGUGGGGAAUAUUGCACAAUGGGCGGAAGCCUGAUGCAGCAACGCCGCGUGCGGGAUGACGGCCUUCGGGUUGUAAACCGCUUUCGCCUGUGACGAAGCGUGAGUGACGGUAAUGGGUAAAGAUGCACCGGCUAACUACGUGCCAGCAGCCGCGGUGAUACGUAGGGUGCGAGCGUUGUCCGGAUUUAUUGGGCGUAAAGGGCUCGUAGGUGGUUGAUCGCGUCGGAAGUGUAAUCUUGGGGCUUAACCCUGAGCGUGCUUUCGAUACGGGUUGACUUGAGGAAGGUAGGGGAGAAUGGAAUUCCUGGUGGAGCGGUGGAAUGCGCAGAUAUCAGGAGGAACACCAGUGGCGAAGGCGGUUCUCUGGGCCUUUCCUGACGCUGAGGAGCGAAAGCGUGGGGAGCGAACAGGCUUAGAUACCCUGGUAGUCCACGCUGUAAACGGUGGGUACUAGGUGUGGGGUCCAUUCCACGGGUUCCGUGCCGUAGCUAACGCUUUAAGUACCCCGCCUGGGGAGUACGGCCGCAAGGCUAAAACUCAAAGGAAUUGACGGGGCUCCGCACAAGCGGCGGAGCAUGCGGAUUAAUUCGAUGCAACGCGUAGAACCUUACCUGGGUUUGACAUGGAUCGGGAGUGCUCAGAGAUGGGUGUGCCUCUUUUGGGGUCGGUUCACAGGUGGUGCAUGGCUGUCGUCAGCUCGUGUCGUGAGAUGUUGGGUUAAGUCCCGCAACGAGCGCAACCCUUGUUCACUGUUGCCAGCACGUUAUGGUGGGGACUCAGUGGAGACCGCCGGGGUCAACUCGGAGGAAGGUGGGGAUGACGUCAAGUCAUCAUGCCCCUUAUGUCCAGGGCUUCACGCAUGCUACAAUGGCUGGUACAGAGAGUGGCGAGCCUGUGAGGGUGAGCGAAUCUCGGAAAGCCGGUCUCAGUUCGGAUUGGGGUCUGCAACUCGACCUCAUGAAGUCGGAGUCGCUAGUAAUCGCAGAUCAGCAACGCUGCGGUGAAUACGUUCCCGGG
This 1343-nucleotide ribosomal RNA is filed under the name uncultured bacterium. RNAcentral describes it as "16S ribosomal RNA". It matches the Rfam family "Bacterial small subunit ribosomal RNA", at positions 28 to 1378 of the family's 1533-position model. The record is from RNAcentral.